Molossus molossus (Pallas's mastiff bat) is the source of this 124-nucleotide small nuclear RNA. NCBI's taxonomy places the organism in Eukaryota, Metazoa, Chordata, Mammalia, Chiroptera, Molossidae. The record is from RefSeq and is a predicted model, not a curated record.
GUGUUGUAUGAAAGGAGGGAAGGUGAGUACUGCCCUUGAAGGGUCAAAGAGGUUCUCAGGCCUAACAGCACACACACAGUUAAAGCAUUGCCACCUACUUCAUCACAUCUAACCAUUGUUUUGU